Molecule: long non-coding RNA, 8010 nt
Filed under: Zea mays
Lineage: Eukaryota; Viridiplantae; Streptophyta; Magnoliopsida; Poales; Poaceae
Description: long non-coding RNA (ZMAY_LNC004556)
Source: RNAcentral
GAGACAACAUCGUAUCAUAAAUGUUCACAUCAUGUUCAUUGAUUAAAGUAAAGCAAUAGAAUGAAGUUAACCAUAAUAAUCCAAAAGGUAAUCAAGGACAAGGUAAAUACAAAGCUAGUCAAUCCUUGUUGAUCAUGGUAUGCGGGUUGAUGAAUUAUAAAGUAAAUGGGACAUAAUAGGUCAGAGGACACCUGCCUUCACCAAACAGAUGCUCAGGAUCUUCAACCUCAUAAAACUCAGAGAGCUUGAUCACUUGGUCGCCGACGCUUGAUCGUCGAUUCCUCGGAGCGCGGAAACAAAUCGCGAUCUAAUCGCAACGCGAAGCGAAGACAAACAGGAACGAACAAACAAACAUAUAUGCAUAAGAACAUUACACCAUACAAAUGAAAAUAUAAUAAAAUAUGCAAAACGAAAUAGAGCGCGUUACUAUGGUCACACGAGGGAAAAGAAACGCGACAGGCGGAGCUAUGAUCGAGAGGUUAUCGCGUCUACACUAAACGAGUAUUAAUCAUAACAUUUAGUUUGACCUGAUUAUAUUAAUCGAUAUUUAUUUAAAACGAAACUAGAGCUAUCGCACAGUUUUAAUUAGCUGACCACACUAACAAUUCUUAGUUAAAUAAGUAAUUUAAAUAACAUCAACGACUCUAAGCGGGACGAAUUAGUGGAGUGAGACGAAAUACGUAACGCGUGAAACAACACGACUGCACGAGACCUAGCGCGCGCACCACGCGCGACAAGCGCGAACAACGUGACGACGACGAACUCAACACGACAGCGUGCAAACGACGCGCGGACACGCACGACAUAGCACGCUGACGACACACGAAACAACACGCGCGACCAUCGCGAACGAGAAUGCCACCACGUGCGGAACAGCACACGCGACAGGUGAUAAAACUAAAUAGGUGACACGUUUAUACUAAACCAAUGUUAAAUAUAUAAAGUAGUUAAGUUAAUAUUUGCUAUGUUAAUAUUUAUUAUAAAAGAUCAAGUGGAACACUACACAUUUAAUCUAGUUAGCAUAUUAAUCUAAUAACCAUUAGUCGAGCGAUAUUAAAUAAAUUAUUUAAAAUAUAUGACCUGAUAAAUUAAUGUUAUUUAACCUAAGUGAUUAUAAGCGGAAGAAAUUUACCAUCACGAGCAGGCGCCGCGCGACCCACGUGAUCGACACGCGAGACGCGCGACACACGCGAAAGGCGUGUGAAAACGCAUGAAUGGCACACGCGAUGCACGCACAUGACGUGUGACGACACGUGAUACUGUACGAAGCAGCGCGCGGCCGGCAAGCGAUACAAUGCGCACGACAACGCGCGAGUCAACGUGACUACGCGCGUGAACAGCGCGAUGUCGCGCAAACGACGCUGCGCGAGAACAACAAAUGGAUAAUUAAUUAAAAGUAUUUAAGCCGGUAUUAAUCAAGUUAAUUAAUAUUUAUAUUCAUAACAGCACGAGUUAAAACUAUAGACUCGUUCUAGUUAAACUGUUAUCUUAAGUAGCAAACGACUAAACAAUAAUUGACUAAUUAGCGCGAGCGACAAUAGCGGAGAUAAUUAAAUAACGCGCUGACAACGCGCGAGACCCACGCGAUCGACAAGAGAUGACACCCGUUGCGACAUGUUUCUACUAACAAGCAUAAAUUCGAUAAUAUUCGAGCAGGCGUAAUUAUAUUAACAAGUAUCUAUAAAGUGAAUCAAAGUAUACGUUAGUUUGAUUAGAUUGCUACUUUUAGUAACUGUCGGAUAAAUAAAUAAUCGAUUAAUUAGCUAAAACGCGUAUCACGGUGAAAUAAUGUCAUCAACACGAUGGCGACGAGGUUAUGAAGUUAACGCGAUUAAAGCGAGUCGAAACGGAUUUACGACAUAUGGUUUAUUGAAUAGGUAACAAUUCACGAAUGAUAAACGAUGCAACAUAUGAGAACCGCUAAACACACGUCAUAAUCACACUAAGUAAUGUUGAAUCAAAACAUUUGAUUACUAUUAAUCAUAUUAACGUUUAUUUAUAAAUGCAUAAAUUAAAACUAUAAAUUAGAUUUAAUUGGAAGGUCGUUCUAAUAACCACUAAAUGAAUAAUUAAUUAAUUAUAACCUGUGUCACGACAAAACAAUGUUACUAAUAUGCACUUUAUUUGUUAUAAAGUUAACGCUACUGAAACGGGUCAAAGCGGAUUUAUAAUGCGAAAAGAUAUGAAUAGUUACCGAAUUGAGCUAUGUGGCGCAAUAUAAUUGGUUGAGGGAUUAACCACCUAGUGGGCCAUAAGAACCUGUCCAUAGAAAAUCCUGCACGGUAGAAGUGGCCAAAGAAAAGUCCUAAAACGUGGCCACGUUCCCUGGGGUUGUUUUCAUGCAUGCGCCCAAGAGGUUUCUCACGGCAUGCAUGAGCACAUGGGUGGGCCCACCAGCCGUUUCUCACACGGUUUCUUCGUUUUCUGGCUCUGCCCGGACGAAACGAAUCGCACCAGCGGUCCCUCUUCUUCCUUCGACCUUCUUGGACCAACCAACACAGCCACAGCAAGGGAGAGAAAGAAGGAUGCCCUCUACCGUCCGGCUAGGCUUCGCCAUUGGGCUGCUCGGCCAAUCGCCGCCAACUCGCUGGCCGGAUUGACGACAGCGCAUGACCGGGCGCGCAGCAAGACCAGGAACAAGGCGUUUAGCGGCACAUGGCUGGGAGCUAGCGUUCGGUGAUGUGCAAAGCGGGUGGGACGCGGACCUCGUGGGCUGGAUGCGACCAGCAGCGGCGGAGGCCGGAGCGGUGCUACAACGCGCGGCUGGGGCAGGAAGCCCGCGAGUAGCGGCUCUACAGCGACGCUGGCGUUGCUCGGCUCGCCGGGGCAAGACGGCGAAGCACGACCAGACCGCGGGAGCAGGGACGCACGUGUGCAGGGAAGGAAGGGAGAGAGGAGAGCUCACCUCGGCAACGGCUCCACGCAGGCUCCUCGGCGGACGACGUCGAGUGCGGGCGAGACAGCUCUGCUGUCAUCCAGAGCAGGCGACUGGCACUCGACCGACGCAAGGGCAUCACCGGAGGACCGAGAUCGGCUGGGAUGGGGAUGGCCGCCGCCAUGGCCACAGCUAGGGGCUGCAGCCGGCCGGCUGCCGUGCGUAGAGGCCCAUCCCUGCCUUGCUGCGUCCGUGGGGGCGAUCUGCGCAGGAUCUUAGCAGGGGCCUCGGGUGGGCGGUUGCGAGCAAAUCACGUCAUGGGUGCACUAGGCGGUUCCUUCGGAGAAGAGGAACAGUAUCUGGGCGACCGUGACGCGCGGACGCCAGGAAAAUCUGGGAUGCGCUGGCCAUUGCGUGGGGGAAAUUUGUGGGCCGCAGGGGGAAAACGGCUUGGGCCGCGGCGCGUGCGAGCGUUCCUGCGCGGAGCGCGUAGCGUGCACGGAAGUGGGCCAGCGGGGGCGCUGGGCCGCAGCAGGCCAAGCAGGCGAGGGUGUGGGGCUGGGCCAGCGGAGGGGCGCUGGGCCGCCGGGGUCGAGCUGGGCCACGCGCUCGAUUGGGCUGCGCAGGGAGGAGGCAUGGCGCUGGGCCAGCGGGGUGGGCUGAGGGAGGCUUCUUUUCCUUUUGUUUUUCUUCAUUUUCUAUUUCUUCUCUUUUCUAUUUUCCUACUAACAAAUUUAUUUACAAUAAAUGAGCUACAUAUUAAAUGGAUACACACCAAAGCAAAACAUCACACAAAAACAAAUAUAUAUUUCCGCAUGAUGCAUCAAUCAUUAUUCCUUUAGGGUUUUAUUUUACUAGACUUAUAAAUAUAUAAAACAAAAUAACUCCCCACUAUUUAGGAAAAGGAAAAGAAAAAUUAAGGAAAAGAGAGGGUAGCACCUGAAUUUGGUGGAUAUUAGAAAAGAAAUUUUAUACCCCCAAAUUCAGGGUGUUACAAAUCUAACCCCCUUAACAGGAAUCUCGCCCUCGAGAUUCAAGAAGAGGCUAGGAAGAAAAUGAGAUUGGUUCAUUGAUCUUACACAGCUUCUUCUAACUCAGCUUUGGCUCUGCCAGCUUUAACUUGUAGACUGGUUGCUUUGACCUUCAGAUGUUUGAGACUAAUUGAUGCAAUUCUUGAGGAUCUCAUGGGCCUGUGGGUUAGGACCCACACACGCUUCCGUUGCGCCACUCUGAUUUUGUGGGUUGAUGUUGAUCGCAUUGUAUUGAUUGGGGUUAGCGGCUAACCCCCUUAACAGGAGCGUUGAUAUGCAUUUGGUGAAGAUGUUGCCGACUCUGACCUUGACCGAUUUGGAGGAGUUGGAGGUUUCCAAAUGGACAAGUGCAAGAGGAAAAGAUAGAGAGAAAAGGUAAGUAUAGACGGAUUAGAGAGAGCAGGGGAGAGAACCCAAUUACCUAACUAUAUGGCACUCACCUAGCAAACUGAUGCCAUUGCGGACCAAAGGCCACAACACGCUACACUCAUUUCAAAGAAGCAAAUCAGUCAUAACACAAAGACAAACAUCACGAGCACACAACAACAAACAUCUUGUUGCUACACGUUAAUGUUAAAUAGAUGGUGGUCUUUCCUUAAAAAGGGAAACUACUCUAAAGCCAUCAAAAGGUAAGGGGAAUCAUAAGACAUGGAGGGUAGGGGCAUGAGCAUAAUAAAGGAUGGAGCCAAAGCAAGGAUUGAAAUCGACAAGGGAGAAAAUGUCACCAAGGGCAGGGUAGGUAAACACCAUUCUCAAAUCGAGAUGGGAAAGAUGAUAAUUCAAAAGGUAGGCAUAAGAUAAGCAUCAUGGAAAGAUCAAGUGAUUACAAAGGUACAGGAGGUAAUAGGCGAAAGCACAUCAAAAGAUCGAGCUAAGACAAGACUUGUAAGGCGACAAGGAGGAAAAAGAAAUCAAGGGAGAGAUAGGUAACUCACGGCUCUCAAACUGGGUUGAAAGAAAUGGGAGACUUUUAAAGGAUAAGUUCAAAGUAAGCAUUUAUGUGGAAGGCCUCAAUAUCACAAGGGUAAAAGGCGAUAAUAGGCAAGGGCAUAAGGGAAAAGACGAAAGCACAGAAGAGCUAGUGGUAUAAGUACAACAAAGAAUGGAGGUAUGUCAAGGCUUGCACGGUAAAGAAGAGGAUAUAGCCAAGGGUGAGGUAAGUAAAACAUAGCUCUCGAAUUAGGAUCGAAAAGAGGAGAUUUCAACAAGUAGACCUAAGAUAAGUAUCAAGGCAAGAUCUACAGAUUACAAAGGUAAGGAUGAUAUCAAACAAAAUCUCAACAAAGGAUGAAGUUAAGGUGAGGCAAGAUUGCAAAGCGACAAAGGGAAAGGAAACGAACAAGGGCGGGGUAGGGAAAACAACACUCUCGGAUUGAAAUGGAAUAAGUGAGGCUAAGGAAAAUAGGUAAACAUCAUGGUAAAUAUGGAGAGAGGUCAAGGGUCAAAGGUGAUAAUAGGCAAGGAUAUAAAGGAAGAGGUAAAUGUGCAUAAAAACCAGGAAUCUAGGUACAACCAAGAAUAGAGUUAAGAUAAGUCUUGCAAUUGGUAAAGUAUAGGAUAUAUCCACGGGUGAGAUAAGUAAGAGACCACGCUUGAACUAAGGUGGGAGAUUGGAGGUUUUAGAUAACGAACAUAGUGUAACCGCCAAGGUAAGAUUGAGAGAUGAGAAGGGUAAAGGCAAUAAGAAACAAAAGCACAACAAAGGAUGAGGUUACAAACUCGCGAGCCAAAGAAGAGGAUACGACCAAGAGAAAGGAGGUAUGAGAUGGAAGAGGGGCGAUUUUAAAGGGCAGGUAUGAGAUGAACAUCAAUGUAAUAUAUAGAAGUGUCAAGGGUAAAGGUGAUAAUAACAAAGAGCAUAGUAAAGGAUGGAGCUAAGGCAAGCCUCACGAAAUGGCGGGAUGGAGAAAACAAUCAUGGGUAAGGUAGGUAAGGUUCCAACAUAAUGGUUUGGUAAAAGAAAUUAUUACCGAGGGAAGUUAUAAGGAAUUAAUGAGAUCACCAAGGAUGUGCAAAAUAAAAUGACCGCUCAUGGAUCAUUAAGAAACAAGGGUGAUCAAGGGCAUGUUAACUGAAAUGUCUUAAACAGACAUUGGGGUAUGAAGAUAAGCAUACACAAAAAUAUAAGAGUAUGCAAGACUCAAAGGAUACGAGCGUACUAAGACCAAGGUAAUAGAAAUUGUCGAAAGAUAGCGUCUUAACAACAGAAUAAGAAAGGAUCUCAGAAGACAAGAAGGUCAUAGACACAUAAACUGAACUGUUUAAAUAGGCAACAGAGGUACAAGGGUAAGUGCUUUAGAUUAAGGGAUAAGGGUAUUAAAAAUGCAAGGAUACGAGCAUGUCAAUAACAAAAUGGAAUAGAGAUGGUCAAAUAGUAGCAAUUUAAUAAUGGAUGAGGAAAGAGUCCCAAAAGACUAAAGGCUACGGUCAGGGGCAUCUACAAAGAUGUCGCAAGCACAAGAUGAGAUCAGAUCUAAUAGUUUGAGAGAAGUAUAGACCAUACUAGAAUAAAAUACUUUUUGGCAAGGGGCAUAUAGGAGCACAACAUAGAAUUAGUCGAGGUGACUAAUAUUUUGAAGCAGAAUCAAGGAUGAGAUGAAGUAAUAAUCAAUAAGUCCUUAAAACGGCCAAUGCUACUCUAGGUCAGCGGUCCUACAGUCAGCACGGCUUUGAUACCACUUAUGUCACACCCGGUUUUAGAAGGUAAACCGAAUGCGAACCAUGUACGUGCCAGGAUCAGAAAUUCACGUACACAGCGAUUACAUAAAUGACUCUUCAUAGCACAAUGCUUCGAAUAACAAUAAAGAAUAAAUAAUGAUAUUAAAUACUAGAGUCAUUUACAUAAUAUGAAUCAAAGUACACAGAAUAGAAACGUAGCUAACGUAAAUAAACCCAACACAGGCAGCUGAUUGGGGGUGAUCGCUAGCCUAAUCCUCGAACUCGUCGAAGUCCUGGAACUCCUGGAGAUCCGCCUCGACGCCUUCUUCUUUACCUGAGCAUAGAUUGCACCAAAGGCAACCUGGUGUUUUGUGAAAGCAAGGGUGAGUACACAUCAACGUACUCAGCAAAUGUCCUGUUUGGCUGAAGUGGACUAGCUUUAUGUGGGGUUAAGGUCGAAGCAGAUUGCUUUUAAUUGGUCAGGUAUUUAUUAUUAAUGGAAGCCAAGUUUUAUCAUAUAACCAACCCAUGAACCAUUUCCUCAUCGAGGAAACCUCAUUAUCAUCAUCGAACCGAAAUAAUAAAAAGAACCAUUGUAUCUCGAACCAUCGGUAUCUCUAAUCAAAGAGGAUCCCAAGGCCGCUCAUAACCGUGAGCACGGCUGAUAUAUCAGUUUCAUUACCCUCUGCAGAGGUCGCACACUUUACCCAUGAGCCGUGAUUCCCGUUUUGCCCGGGGAUCAUGACUCCCCAUUGAUCACUUCCUAGGUGGUCCGGCAGGGUAUCACUACGUAGCCUUUACAAAGAUUCCCUAGAGGUCAUAGUCGCCCGUUAGGUUUCUCCAGUUUGAUAAACACAGUACCUCUCCCCGCAGGAGAGUGACUAACAAAAGCAAAACGAAAGAACCUCGGCACUCAGCCUCGGCAGAGCAAGCACUGUGUCUGGACCCCAUUGACGGCAUGACGGCGAAGCAACUACACCUAUAGUUCCUCUAAUUAAUUAGCUAAGGGCAUCCCAUUUCACCCUCAUGGUUGCACUGUUAUCCCGGGUGGUCUCUCAACGAACAGGUCCUUACGGAGAGGUACUCGAGAAACCGUCCGAGUCCCCUAAAUGCCACAAGUCCAACAUCAUAAUCAUAGAGACAACAUCGUAUCAUAAAUGUUCACAUCAUGUUCAUUGAUUAAAGUAAAGCAAUAGCAUGAAGUUAACCAUAAUAAUCCAAAAGGUAAUCAAGGACAAGGUAAAUACAAAGCUAGUCAAUCCUUGUUGAUCAUGGUAUGCGGGUUGAUGAAUUAUAAAGUAAAUGGGACAUAAUAGGUCAGAGGACACUUGCCUUCACCAAACAGAUGCUCAGGAUCUUCAACCUCAUAAAACUCAGAGAGCUUGAUCACUUGGUCGCCGACGCUUGAUCGUCGAUUCCUCGGAGCGCGGAAACAAAUCGCGAUCU